Molecule: ribosomal RNA, 816 nt
Filed under: Curtobacterium sp.
Lineage: Bacteria; Bacillati; Actinomycetota; Actinomycetes; Micrococcales; Microbacteriaceae
Description: partial 16S ribosomal RNA
Rfam family: Bacterial small subunit ribosomal RNA
Source: RNAcentral
UGCAGUCGANCGAUGAUGCNCCAGCNUNUGCUGGGUGGAUUAGUGGCGAACGGGUGAGUAACACGUGAGUAACCUGCCCCUGACUCUGGGAUAAGCGUUGGAAACGACGUCUAAUACUGGAUAUGACUGCCGGCCGCAUGGUCUGGUGGUGGAAAGAUUUUUUGGUUGGGGAUGGACUCGCGGCCUAUCAGCUUGUUGGUGAGGUAAUGGCUCACCAAGGCGACGACGGGUAGCCGGCCUGAGAGGGUGACCGGCCACACUGGGACUGAGACACGGCCCAGACUCCUACGGGAGGCAGCAGUGGGGAAUAUUGCACAAUGGGCGAAAGCCUGAUGCAGCAACGCCGCGUGAGGGAUGACGGCCUUCGGGUUGUAAACCUCUUUUAGUAGGGAAGAAGCGAAAGUGACGGUACCUGCAGAAAAAGCACCGGCUAACUACGUGCCAGCAGCCGCGGUAAUACGUAGGGUGCAAGCGUUGUCCGGAAUUAUUGGGCGUAAAGAGCUCGUAGGCGGUUUGUCGCGUCUGCUGUGAAAUCCCGAGGCUCAACCUCGGGCUUGCAGUGGGUACGGGCAGACUAGAGUGCGGUAGGGGAGAUUGGAAUUCCUGGUGUAGCGGUGGAAUGCNCANAUAUCAGGAGGAACACCGAUGGCGAAGGCAGAUCUCUGGGCCGUAACUGACGCUGANGGAGCNAAAGCGUGGGGANCGAACAGGAUUANAUACCCUGGUAGUCCACGCCCGUAAACGUUNNNCGCUANAUGUNNGNACCUUUCCACGGUUUCUGUGUCNNANCUAACGCAUUANNGCCCCGCCUGGGGA